This 405-nucleotide ribosomal RNA is filed under the name Triticum aestivum (bread wheat). Its description in RNAcentral is "partial small subunit ribosomal RNA". The record is from RNAcentral. Lineage: Eukaryota; Viridiplantae; Streptophyta; Magnoliopsida; Poales; Poaceae.
AUUAGACCGUACAGAUACAGUCCGGCACAAAAGGACGAGGUGGAGCGGCAGGUGGCCGACAUGCUCGCCCAAGGCAUCAUUGUGCCAAGCUCCAGCCCUUCCGCGUCUCCAGUCUUGCUAGUGCAGAAGAAGGACCUCACCUGGCGAUUUUGUGUGGACUACCGUCAGCUAAAUGCGAUGACAGUGAAGAAUCGUUACCCCCCGCCCAUCAUUGAUGAGUUGCUAGACGAGCUAGCCGGUUCCCAGUUCUUCAUCAGCCUCGAUCUGAGGGCAGGGUAUCAUCAAAUACGCAUGAAGCCGGAGGAUGAGCACAAGACCGCAUUCAAGACCCACAACGGCCACUAUGAGUUUCGUGUGCUGGCUUACGGACUCACGGGUGGUCCAUCCACAUUCCAGGGAGGAAUG